AACGAACGCUGGCGGCAUGCCUAACACAUGCAAGUCGAACGCCCCGCUCGGGGAGCGGCGGGCGGGUGAGUGACGCGUGGGAAAGUACGCUUUUCUGCUGAGUAGCACCGGGCGACUGGGAUUCUUACAGCGUGUGUUCUUCUGGGGAAAGAUUUAUCGGCACGGGAUCGGCCCGCGUUGGAUUAGGUAGUUGGUAGGGUAAUGGCCUACCAAGCCGACGAUCCAUAGCUGGUGUGAGAGGAUGAUCAGCCACACUGGGACUGAGACACGGCCCAGACUCCUACGGGAGGCAGCAGUGGGGAAUAUUAGACAAUGGGCGAAAGCCUGAUCCAGCCAUGCCGCGUGAGCGAUGAAGGCCUUAGGGUUGUAAAGCUCUUUUAGGCGGGAAGAUAAUGACAGUACCGGCAGAAGAAGCCCCGGCUAACUCCGUG
Molecule: ribosomal RNA, 431 nt
Filed under: uncultured bacterium
Lineage: Bacteria
Description: partial 16S ribosomal RNA
Rfam family: Bacterial small subunit ribosomal RNA
Source: RNAcentral